UACAGAGGUCUCAAGCGUUGUUCGGAUUCAUUGGGCGUAAAGGGUGUGUAGGUGGCGCCGUAAGUCGGGUGUGAAAUUUCGGAGCUUAACUCCGAAACUGCAUUCGAUACUGCGGUGCUUGAGGACUGGAGAGGAGACUGGAAUUCAUGGUGUAGCAGUGAAAUGCGUAGAGCUCGGGAAGAACAUCGGUGGCGAAAGCGCUCUACUGGACUGCAACUGACACUGAGGGACGAAAGCUAGGGGAGCGAAUGGG
RNAcentral lists this ribosomal RNA (253 nucleotides) under uncultured bacterium. RNAcentral's name for it is "partial 16S ribosomal RNA". It matches the Rfam family "Bacterial small subunit ribosomal RNA", at positions 524 to 776 of the family's 1533-position model. The record is from RNAcentral.